CGGCCAGGAGGAAGAAAAGGUGAGGAAGAAGAAAGCUCUGUGAGAGAACGCGUAUUUCGUGGCUGCUGGGCCGAGCUGGGCUGCAGGGCGUGCACGGGAGAAGUGGGCCGCGGCGCUACGGGGCUGCGCGAAGGGAGAGGCCGAGGCGGCUCGGCUGUGCGCGAAGUUGGGCCGAGGUAAGCAGGUAGGUUUUCGUUUUCCUUUUUCUUUUUUGUUUUCUACUUUUGCAAAUAGUUUUUGGAUUCAAAUUUCAAAUACCAUUUUGAAAAGCUGAAAAGUAGAAGAAUUCAAAUAUGGUACUAGUAUUUUGGAAAUAUUCAAAUGGGGUUAAAAGUUUGAAACAAAAGGAUCUGUUUAAUCUGUAAACUUUCAUGCGGACCACUUUUCCAUAGGACGUCAUCUUGAUGACGCUACUGUUUAAUCUGUAAACAGCUCUCAUCCAACCAUGGCUGGAUCUACAUGUCUUCACGUCGAUGCGACUUCAUGCCAUCAACUCUUCUUGUGAUGUCUACAAAACUCGACCAUCACAUGUUGAAUAUCUCCAAUACUG
This 550-nucleotide long non-coding RNA is filed under the name Brachypodium distachyon (stiff brome). Its description in RNAcentral is "long non-coding RNA (BDIS_LNC004586)". The record is from RNAcentral. Lineage: Eukaryota; Viridiplantae; Streptophyta; Magnoliopsida; Poales; Poaceae.